This 424-nucleotide ribosomal RNA is filed under the name uncultured bacterium. Its description in RNAcentral is "bacterial SSU rRNA". It matches the Rfam family "Bacterial small subunit ribosomal RNA", at positions 31 to 500 of the family's 1533-position model. The record is from RNAcentral.
GUACGCUGGCGGCACGCCUAACACAUGCAAGUCGAACGAAGUAGCAAUACUUAGUGGCAGACGGGUGAGUAACAUGUAGGUAUCUGCCCUUUGGCCUGGAAUAACACGAGGAAACUUGUGCUAAUACCGGAUAAGUCUUUACGGAGAAAGCUUUAUGCACCAUUGGAUGAGCCUGCACUUGAUUAGUUUGUUGGUGGGGUAAUGGCCUACCAAGACUGUGAUCAAUAGCUGAUUUGAGAGGAUGAUCAGCCACAUUGGGACUGAGACACGGCCCAAACUCCUACGGGAGGCAGCAGUGGGGAAUCUUGCACAAUGGAGGAAACUCUGAUGCAGCGAUGCCGCGUGAGUGAAGAAGGCCCUUGGGUUGUAAAGCUCUUUCGUCGGGGAAGAAAAUGACUGUACCCGAAUAAGAAGGUCCGGCUAA